Comamonadaceae bacterium CG2_30_60_41 is the source of this 68-nucleotide non-coding RNA. The record is from Rfam. NCBI's taxonomy places the organism in Bacteria, Pseudomonadati, Pseudomonadota, Betaproteobacteria, Burkholderiales, Comamonadaceae.
GAUGAAUCUAUUGUUUGCCAAGCCCGCGGGUUACCGCCAGCGGGGGAGGGCAGCGAAAAGAGGAGUCA